Molecule: ribosomal RNA, 468 nt
Filed under: uncultured bacterium
Lineage: Bacteria
Description: partial 16S ribosomal RNA
Rfam family: Bacterial small subunit ribosomal RNA
Source: RNAcentral
GGCGAACGCUGGCGGCGUGCUUAACACAUGCAAGUCGAACGGAAAGGCCCUGCUUUUGUGGGGUGCUCGAGUGGCGAACGGGUGAGUAACACGUGAGUAACAUGCCCUUGACUUUGGGAUAACUUCAGGAAACUGGGGCUAAUACCGGGUAGGAGCUCCUGCUGCAUGGGGGGGGUUGGAAAGUUUCGGCGGUUGGGGAUGGACUCGCGGGGUAUCAGCUUGUUGGUGGGGUAGUGGCUUACCAAGGCUUUGACGGGUAGCCGGCCUGAGAGGGUGACCGGCCACAUUGGGACUGAGAUACGGCCCAGACUCCUACGGGAGGCAGAAGUGGGGAAUAUUGCACAAUGGGCGGAAGCCUGAUGCAGCAACGCCGCGUGCGGGAUGACGGCCUUCGGGUUGUAAACCGCUUUCGCCUGUGACGAAGCGUGAGUGACGGUAAUGGGUAAAGAAGCACCGGCUAACUACGUG